CAUGCCUAAGACAUGCAAGUCGAAUGAGGUGGCCCAAUGACGGAUGAGUGCUUGCACGAUUCCUGAUUGGAUCUUCCACCUAGUGGCGGACGGGUGAGUAACACAUGGGUGACCUGCCCUUAAGUCUGGGACAACUACUGGAAACGGUAGCUAAUACCGGAUGACACAUAGAUUCGUUUCUAUGUUAAAAGGUGCCUUUAAAGCAUCGCUUUUGGAUGGGCCUGUGGCGUAUUAGCUUGUUGGUAAGGUAAUGGCUUACCAAGGCGACGAUGCGUAGCCGGACUGAGAGGUUGAACGGCCACAUUGGGACUGAGACACGGCCCAAACUCCUACGGGAGACAGCAGUUAGGAAUAUUCGUCAAUGGGGGAAACCCUGAACGAGCAAUGCCGCGUGAGUGAUGAAGGUCCCUUUGGAUUGUAAAACUCUGUUGUAUGGGAAGAACGGCCAGACUAGGAAAUGAGUUUGGAGUGACGGCACCAUGCCAGAAAGCUCCGGCUAACUACGUGCCAGCAGCAGC
This 518-nucleotide ribosomal RNA is filed under the name uncultured bacterium. RNAcentral's name for it is "bacterial SSU rRNA". It matches the Rfam family "Bacterial small subunit ribosomal RNA", at positions 43 to 518 of the family's 1533-position model. The record is from RNAcentral.